CUGAAUUUAUCGUCUGGGAUUUUUUCAUGUAGAACUCUGCAAUCGCUUGAGUUCACAAAUUACGGUAUCCGAUUCCAUCGCCCUUUUCACCAUUGCCAUAACCUCAAAACCUUGAAACUCUAUUACUGUGAUAUUAGCAGUGAAACCCUUGAAGCAAUCGUUUCUAGCUUUGAUUUUAUGGAACACCUGAGCGUUUGUUCUUCCACCUCCAGUUUAAAACAGGUUCGGAUCUUUAGCCAAACGGUUAAGACUGUGGAGCUGGAAUCAUUGGAUUUGGAGGGGAUUUAUUUAUCUACCCAAUCUCUUGGUGCUUUGGUGCUUCAUUCUAUGAAAUUUCCGGCCAGACGUUUGGUUAUCCAUGCUCCAAAUCUUAGGGUUUUUACUGCAACUCGCAAGCCCAUAACUAAAAAUUCAGACAAUAUCACCAAGAUUGCUGAGAUUCUAGAGUAUUGCACUCAUCUCUUGGUAAGCAUUUAAUUUCACUACCUCUUUUACUAAGCAUUUAAUUUCACUACCUCUUUUACUUUCUGGUUAGAUACAAAGUAAGCAUUUUGUUUUUGUUUUAAUAAGUAAAUAGGUUUUCAAAUUAGUUUAUACGUUGUGGGUGUUACAUAAAUACUUAUUUUACUUUGAUUAUCGGGAAUUAUACACCUUUCACUAUACGUUGUGGGUGUUAUAUAAAUACUUUUUUUACUUUGAUUAUCGGAAUUAUACACCUUUCACUAUACUUAAAUCUGCUUAUUUUGUUUUUGUUUUAAUACCUAAACUACAUCUUUCAACUAUGCUUAAAGUUUAUAUUUUAUGAGUGUUAUAUAAAUGCUUGUUUUGCUUUGGUUAUCGAAAUCAUACACCUUUCACCUUUUACCUUUCACCAUACCUAUACCUCUAUUUUAUUAUAAAUGCGUACUUUAUUUUUUUUAAUAAGUAGAACGAUUUUCGAAUUAUAUAUCCUUUAACGAUACUUAAAAUUUAUAUUUCAUUAUAUAUUAUAAAUGCUUAUUUUGCUUUGGUUUUCGGAAUCAUACACCUUUCACCAUAUCUAUAUCUCUAUUCUGUUAUAAAUGCGUAAUUUGUUUUUGUUUUAAUAAGUAAAACGAUUUUCGAAUUAUAUAUCUUUUAACGAUAUAUUUCAUGGAUGUUAUAUAAAUGCUUAUUUUUCUUUGGUUAUCGGAACCAUACACCUUUCACUAUACCUAAACCUCUAUUUUAUUAUGCUUAUUUUGUUUUUGUUUCAAUAAGUAAAUUGUUUUCAAAUUAGAUAUCUUUUAACGAUACUUAAAGUUUAUAUUUUACGAGUGUUAUAUAAAUACUUAUUUUGCUUUGGUUAUAGGAAUCAUACACCUUCCGCUAUACGUAAACCUCUAUUUUAUUAUAAAUGCUUAUUUUGUUUCUCUUUUAAUAAGUAAGACGGUUUUCAAAUUAUAUAUCUUUCAACGAUACUUAAAGUUUAUAUUUCAUUGUGUACUAUAAAUGUUAAUUUUGCUUUCGUUAUCGGAAUCAUCCACCUUUCACUAUACCUAAACCUCUAUUUUAUUAUAGAUGCUUACUUUUGUUUUUAUUUUAAUAAGUAUAAUGAUUUUUGAAUUAUAAUGAAUUAUAUAUCUUUUAACGAUACUUAAAGUUUAUAUUUCAUCGUACUUUAUAAAUGCUUAUUUUACUUCUUUUACAAUACCUAAACUUGUAUUUUAUUAUAAAUGAUUAUUUUGUUUUUGUUUUAAUAAAUAAAAUGGUUUUCAAUUUAUAUAUCUUUUAACGAUACUUAAAGUUUAUAUUCCAUCGUGUUUCAUAAAUACUUAUUUCGCUUUUGUUAUCGGAAUCAUACAUCUUGUAUUAUACUUAAACUUGCAUUUUAUUAUAAAUGCUUAUUUUGUUUUUAUUAUUAAGUAAGAUGGUUUUCGAAUUAGAUAUCUUUUAACGACGACUAAAUCUAUACUCCAUCGUGUCUUAUAAAUGCUUAUUUUCUUUGGUUAUUGAAAACAUACACCUUUUACUAUACCUAAACCCGUAUUUUAUUAUAAAUACUUAUUUUGUAUAUUAUUUUAAUAUGCAAAUUGGUUUUCAAAUUAUGUAUCUUUUAGAAUACUUGUAAUUUAUGUUAAUAAGUAACUUUUGAAUUAUACACCUUUUAUUUAAAUUUUAUUUUAUCGUGUUGUAUAAAUGAUUACUCUAUUAAUGCAUUAGUAGUUUUUAAAUUACACAUAUUUUAUCGUGUAUAUAUUCAUGCAUGUUUUGUUUUUAAUACGUAAAUUGUUUUUGUGCUAUUAGGUACAUUGGUUUCUUUUAAAGAUAUCUAUAGUUGUACUUUACAGUGUUAUAUAUAAAUGUUUGGGUGUUAAAAGAGAUGAAUAGCUAGAUAUAAAGAACCGAAAAAUGUUGGAUGUAAUUGUAAAACACAUUAUAUUUUUAAGGGGAGAAUUCAGAUUCGAACCUUGGAGAUGAUAUUAUUGAGAGCGACAAUCAUGAAUCUCGAAAAAAUUGGUCUCUGUGAACUGCAAAACGAACAUGAUGACUUGAUAAAUUAUUUUGGUUGGCCCGUGCUGACACCUGUUAAUUAUGAAGCUAAUGAUCCAAUGGAAGACCUGAAUCUGUUUAUGAAUUUGAGGGAGCUAACCAUUGAUUUAGACUUGAACGAUAGAAGGGAAAUGUUGAUCCUCUGUAUCGUUCUACAACGCUGCCUUAAUCUACACCAACUUGAAAUCAACAUAGAGGUAAUUUAUAUAUAUAUAUGUGUUUAGAUUUAGAUCAUCCUGUACUGGUGGAAAUGUUAUGAACAUGUGAUGAUCAUUGAUUUAUGCAUUAUAUUCAGGAAAGUAGAAGUGAAAUAGAGGAAGCAACAAGUGAUUACAGUAGUGUAAACAACCGAAUGCCAUAUCCAGAGACAAAGCUAUGGGAGAAAAGGGGGCUGUGCGACUGUAUUACAUUCACACUAAAACAAGUAUCCAUUAAGGGAUUCAAAGGGAAAGAUGGGGAAAUGGAAUUCCCAAGGCAUCUGAUUACGAAAGGUGCCAAGUUGAGGAGAAUAGAGAUUUGGUGUAACCAUGACUGCUCUAGAGAAGGAGGUGAGGCAACUCUUGGUUUACUUUCACUGCCUAGAUCCUCCAUUGAUGUCUCCAUUCUUCUUAAACCGCCACCCCAAUUUGAUGGUAGUUUUGGAAGAUGGGUCUCAACCCUAAACUAGUCUUAUUGUCAAGGAUUUUUGGAUUAGUUAAGGAUUUUGAACAGGAUGGGGAAUUUAUCAUUGGUUUUUCAAAGAUGAUUUUGGGUGUGACUUUAUGUUUCUAUAUUGUUGGAAUGACAUGCUCCAGUUUGGAAGUUACUCUUGUGCCUUAAUCAAAUUGUCAAUGUGGUAUUUGUACUUUUAAUUUAUUUAAUUUGUUAUUUUUAUUUUUAUUUUAUGGAACAUUUUGGUACCCUAAUUUAGCAGUGUUAAAUUUUGACAUAUAUUGACACAUGAACUAUUGACAGAAUGUGACAUGGCACAGUGAUUAGGGCAAAAUGUUAAAAGAAUAGAAUUUUUGGAUUUGCUAAAAAUUUUCUCCUUUAUUUUUUAAAUAUCAUUUAGAAAAUCAAAUAAACAUACAUGAAAUUUUAUUAAAAUAUAUCUUUUAACAAAGAAAUAUUUUUUUAAUUAAAUUAAAAGUAUUAAAUUUAAAAAAAGAAUAAACCCAUUUAUUUUCUAUUCUUUUUUUUUUAUCUUUUUUCUCUCUACUUUCAUUUUCUUCAUUUCUUUCUCCACAAUGAACCCUCGCCACCGUCAUUAUUGUCGCUCCUAUUGCUAGCAUCUCUACACUGUCUAGUGGUCUUGAUUCUCACUCUAAAAUGAAGCUCGUCCUUCCCGUUUCUGUUUCUCGCUUUUGAUCUCCCCAUAACCAACAAAAAGUUCAACCAAAGUUUCAAAAAAAAAAAAAAACCUUGAUCCAUCUCCAUCCACAAGGUUCUAGCAAUGUUGGGCUAAGAAAAUGUUUAUUAAUAGAUAAAAAAUAUGAUGGAGUGCGAGAGUUUAAUCCAUCUCUAUCAACAAGAUUCUAGCAAAAAUGAAGAAACAAAAAUAAUACAACAAAAAGAAAUAAAAAGAAAAGAAGAGAAAAGAUAAAUGAAAACCUAAGCUAAGAAAAGAAGAGUAAAAAUUAUAGAAUGUCUAACAUAAUUUUCUACACUGGCCUAGUCACCCAAAUAGUUGAUAUAAGGUGGUAUUUAUAGGAAAAAAUAUUUAACCUAACAUUGAAAACUAUGUCCUUAAAGAAAAAGUGACUUAAGCUUGUUUGGACACAAAAUUACCCUUACAAUUUUUCUUCACCCAUUAGACUUGAGUGUCGCAACACCUAGGUUUUCGGUGUUGCGACAUUCAUGGCAGUGCACACGAGCUUGGCUUGGGGGCACCUUGUGUCGUGAUCUUGACGACAAUGGCACUAGGUUCCUUCACUUGAACAAUUGGCUUGGAGUCAUAACUUCGAGGGCUUGUAGUUGCAGCUUUAAGGCUUGGUGUUGCGACCGACAUGAUUAGUGUCAUGACUUCAAUGGUAGAUUACUCCAAGUUGGGUUUUCAUUGAACCUUCCGCUAUACCUAAACCUCUAUUUAAUUAUAAAUGCUUAUUUUGUUUCUGUUUUAAUAAGUAAGACAGUUUUCGAAUUAUAUAUCUUUUAACGAUACUUAAAGUUUAUAUUCCAUCGUGUUUUAUAAAUACUUAUUUUGCUUUCGUUAUCGGAAUCAUACAUCUUUAAUUUAUUAUACUUGAACCUAUCUUUUAUUAUAAACGCUUAUUUUGUUUUUAUUAUUAAGGAAAAUGGUUUUCGAAUUAUAUAUCUUUUAAAGAUGCCUAAAUUUAUACUCCAUCAUGUUUUCUAAACCCAUUUAUUUUGUUUUGUUUUCUUUUCUUUUUUAUCUUCUUUCUCUCUACUUUCAUUUUCUUCAUUUCUUUCUCCACAAUGAACCCUAGCCACUGUCAUCGAUGUUACCACUGCUCUUAUUGCUAGCAUCUUUACACUGUCUAGUGGUCUUGAUUCUCACUCUAAAACGAAGAGCAUCCUUCCCUUUUCUCUUUCUCGCUUUUGAUCUCUCCAUAACCAACAAAAAGUUCAACGAAAGUUUUUUUAAAAAAAAACCUUGAUCCAUCUCCAUCCACAAGGUUCUAGCAAUGGUGGGCUAAGAAAAUGUUUAUUAAUAGAUAAAAAUAGGAUGGUGCGCGGGAGUUUAAUCCAUCUCCAUCCACAAGGUUUUAGCAAGAAUGAAGAAACAAAAAUACUACAACAAAAAGAAAAUAAAAAGAAGAGAAAUGAAAACCUAAGCUAAGAAAAUAAGAGUAAAAAUUAUAUAAUGUCUAACAUAAUUUUCUACACUAGCCUAGUCCCCCAAAUAGUUGAUAUAAGGUGGUAUUUAUAGUAAAAAAAAUAUUUAACCUAACAUUGAAAAUUAUGUCCUUAAAUAAAAAUCGGCUUAAGCUUGUAUGAACACAAAAUCACCCCUACAAUUUUUCUUCACCUAUCAGACUUCAAUGCCGCUACACCCAGGCUUUUGAUGUUGCGACAGUUGUGGCAGUGGGCACGAGGUUAGCUUGGGGGCACCUGGUAUCGCAACCUCGAUGACAAUGACACUAGGUUCAUUCAUUUGAACAAUUGGCUUGGAUUCAUAACCUCGAGGGCUUGUUGUUGUUGCUUUAAGGCUUGGUGUUGCUACACAACAUGAUUAGUGUCGUGACUUCAAUGGCAGAUUACUCCAACUUGAGUUUUUGUUGGAGUUUGCUUCCCCGAGGUGAUAGGGAAUCAGUGUCGCGACCCCCAAAACAAUUAAGGUCCUCUUUGAUGUUUGGCCUUAGUCAUAUCCUUACACAAAUAUUAGACAAGAUACGAGUUUUCUUCGAAAAGUGAUUUGAGUUUGUUAGCCAUUUCGAUGGCUAAUGUAGCCUUUACGAUCUGACCAUAACGUCACAGUUGUAAUACCAUAAGGGGUACUAGUAAAACUACUGAUAUGGGUUAUAUUGAUAGGGAUUUUGUUGAUUUUAAUAUUAGAGGUCAGUUUGAUUUUGUUGGUUUUGGUUUCCCUGCAUGGAGUUUUGGUUUUAAGUUGUUCGGGUUUGAGUUGUGUUACAUAGAUAUUUUGAAUAGUGGGAUCCAUGGUUGGGUCAUUAGUAGGAUCAAAAUCAGUGCUAGGAGGAUCACUAGUACUAGGUUUUACAUUGUGGCACCCCAAACCCGGUCAGAAUGGAUCGAUCUAAAUUCAGAACGUCAAAUUAGCCACUUACUUGACUCUCCUUACCAGUCAACUAGCACACCACAAACCAACUAUCACAUCAAUUGAAAACAUGCUUAAAUAAGUAAUUUAAAACAUGCAAACCUAAAUCGUGCUAUGUUCAUCAUAAUACAAUAAAAAAAGAUCGGGGGUAAAAUUGUUACACUCCAUAAACGUUAAAUACGCAAAUCAUAAAUUUGGACCAACCAGUGUCCUAAGCAUUUCAUUUUAAAGCAUCUAUGGGAAAUUCAGUUCAAAACAAUAUUUAAAACUCACUUAAUUCCAAAACGAAGUUUAUAGACUAAAAUGUAAUUUUUUUCAAAAUAUCCAGAAAACCAUUUUAAGGAAUUGAAACUACCAUACUGAAAUUCUUGGAAUGAAAUUAAGACAUGAAAUAUAUAAAAUAUUGUUAAUAUAAAUACAAAAUUUUCUGUGAGAAUAAAUUAAUAUUGCUCAUUAAGGCAUUAAAAAGUGAUAAAAUUAUAAAUUGCAAAUUUCGGGGAUGGAUUAAAUUGAAAUUCGAUAAGUAAUUGAAAAGAUUAGACGGAUAAAUUAUUCAAAUUAACAAGUUAGGCAAGACGUUAAGGGAAUAAAAUAUAUGAGGACCUCAAGGGAUAUUAAACCAUGAGAAAUGGAAAUUUACCUUACUAGGAAUACUCCCGCACGAAGUGCGUGUUUUUUUUUUUUUAAUGUAAAAAUUUUAUUUAAUGUUUGUAAAUUUAAUUUAAUUCAAUAAAAUUAGAAUUAUAUAUAUUUUUCUUUGAUUGUAAUUAAAUUUAUAUUUAAUUAACAAAAAACGAGGAAUUCUUUAAACCUAGCACAAAGUGCAUUAUAAUUAUUAACUACUAAUUAUUAUUAAAUGAUCGGUAUUUAAAAAAAAAUAUUUUAGCCUUCAAUUUAAUUUAUCACUUUUUUUGAGCCUUUAAAAUUAUAUUAUUUGUCAAAUUAUCCCAAAAUGGAUGGAAAUGUUAACUUUUAUUAACUUUGCUAAUGUAGCAUACACGUUAAUUGCCAUGUAGAUGCCACUUAAGCAAUUAAUUAAUUUUUAAAAAUUAAAAUGAUAAAAAAUAUUGUAAAAAUAAAAAUUAUUAAAAAUUAUUUAGAAAGUAUAAUAUUAAAAGAAUUUUAUUUAAUUUUUUUAAAAAAUUAAUUAAUUGCUAACAUGUCAUACACGCGGCCAUCCACAUGUAUGACACGCCACCAAAGUUAACAAACGUGAACUUUUCUAUCUAUUUUUGGGGUGAAUUGACAAAUAGUGUGUAACACCCUAUUCUCGACCCGAUCAUUGGGUUUGAGCUACAGAAUAUCACAUUCAUUACUGGAAUAACUACAAUUAAUCUAACAUAAUUUUUUAUUGAUUUAUCACAUUAUAUCUGUCGAAACCAUUUUUUUGAAAACAAAAAAAUUAGUUGUCGAUGAAAAUUUGGAGUCUCCACCAAUCUUUUAUUAAGGUGUGAUUGGGUCACCUAAAAACGUCUUUGGUCUACGAGUUUUAGAAAAACGGGUUCGGGAGUCGGUUACGUAUCAGGAAGGAUUAACACCCUCAUAACACCCAAAAAUUGGUACCAAGUUGACUAAUUAAUGUCUUAAUGUCGAGAGUUGAAAAAUAUGAUCCCUAAUUAAAUUAUCCGUUAAGUUAUUAAGACUCCCUCAUUUCGAAACAGAAAACAUCACACCUAAUGCGUUAGGGCACGAUAUUUUAUUUCUUCAAGAUGAGUUUUUCCCAAAGGUUUGUGUGAUAAAAUUUAAAAGAAUAUUCCAUUGUUUAAGAUUUUUGACCAAAUCACAACCCAAUACGUUAGGGCACAAUUUCUCAACAUCCCAAACAUUGAAUAUUUCCUUUAUUAAUAUAUAUAUAUAUAUAUAUAUAUAUUUGUAAAAAAAAAAUCUUUGUCUUGAGAAAUCAAUACGUCACAUCCAAUGCGUUAGGACACAACAUAUUAAAUUCCCAACAACAAGCUAUUUUUGAUCAAAGAGUAAUUCUCGAUUGUUAGAUUUAACGAAGAAAAUCGGAACCCAAUACGUUAGGGCUCAAUUUCCUUGAAAAUCCUAAAUACGAGUAUUAUCUCAAUUUUGAAAAUUUUAAAAUCGAGUAAAGAAUGAUGUAAUGCUACAUUAAGUGUAAAAUACAAUAAUAAAUACAACAAUGACAUAGAAAUUAUAUAGAUUAAUAAAUAAAUAAAUAAAAAUAAAUCAAUGGCAUGCAAAGCAUCAAAUAAAUGAGCAAAAUAGAAUAACAUGCUUUUAAAAUAUAAAUGAAACAUAAAUCGAUAAACAAAAGAAGGAAAUAAAUAAAUAAAAACAUAAAGAGAAAAAAAAUACAAAAUAUAUACAUGGAACUUAUGAAGAAUAAGAAGGCGUGCACAUGAAUUUACAUAUAAAACUUUGUAUUAUAAAGUUUAUAUAACAAAAUAUAUAAUGCAUUUAUGCAAAUAAAGAAAAAUAUAAACAUAUAUAUAUAUAUAUAUAUAAAUAUAUAUAUAUAAAUUAUGAAAUAUGUGUUUAACAAAAUAUAUGUAUUUGAGCAUUCAAAAAAAAAAUGUAUGUAUGCAAAAAUUAAAAUAAUAAAGAAUGUGUAUAUGCGUAUAAAAUAUAAAUGUACAUAUGUAAAAAUAAAAGUUAUGCAAAUAGAAUAAUAAUAAAAAAUAUAUAUAAUAUGUGCAGGUGUUUAUAAAAGUUUUUUUUUUAAAAUGUAUGUAUACUAUUAUAAAAAAUAAUGUGUAUGUAUAUAUAUAUAAUAAUAAUAAAUGAUAAUAAUAACAAAUGGGGAUUAAAUCAAAAUUAAACAAAAUUUUAGGGCCAAAAUUAAAAAUAAAAAAAAUUGAAUUAAAAUGAGCGAGAAUGGGGAAGGACCAAAAGUAAAAAUUCCCCAUUUAGGGCCAGAACGUGCGGACCCUGCUUGCAGAUCGGGUCGACGAGCGGAUCUGGCCCCCCUAAACGGCGCCGUUUUGGUUUUUUUUUUAAACUGAAUUUUUUACAAAAAAAAAAUCAUUAGUAACCAGAAAAAAUAAAAAUAAAAAAACUAAAACACCCUACUUUCUCUGCUAAGGUUUUAUACCCUAUUUCAGCCGCCUAACCCCCCACCAUGCUUCCACCAUGAACGGCGGUCGGAACCUUACCCUAAAGGGCUUUUCGGCUCUUUUUCACAUGGAUCUGAAGGUCAAGGUAAUUUCCUCUUUUUGCUCUUUACUUUCCUUAUAAACAAGCAAAUAAAUAGAUUCGAAGGGCAGAAACAAAGAAAAUAAAUCACUACCUUUCCUCUAUUUUGUUUUUUCGUUCAUUGAUAUUGUAGACAUAUUUGCUUUUAUUGAUUUUUCCUCCCCCCUAAUUAUAGAAAAUGAAAUGGCUUUAUAUAGCCAGAAUCCAUCAAUUUAAAGCGAAUAAUAAAAAAUAAAUUACUAUGAUCUUCUCCUCUGUUGCCUUUUUUGUUAUUGUUGUGCUGGUGCUGUUUAGAUCCACAUUUUUUGCAGGUAUAGAGGCCGUGGAAGAGGUAUGUGCGUGGUGGUGUAGCACGCGUGAGGAAGAGGCGCGCCUGGGCGACUGUUGCGGCGCGAUGGCUGGAGCUUGCUUGGGUUUCUGAUCUUGUUUCGAUUUUGGGCCAAGAUUGUAUUGGGCUUGGGCCAUAUGGGCUGAUUGUAAUUAGGGCCUUUUACCCGGGCCAAAAUCGGGUAUUACAAUAUCCACUGAUAUGAUCAUUACAUCAUUAUUUUACAAUAUAAUAUCCUAUCUAGGGUUUAUACGAGCUUACGAAAGCUCUUUUCAUAACCCAGGUUAUUGGAGUACUAAACUGCAAAGUUUAAAACAUUUCGAGUUGGAGUCGCAACUUCAGGGGUGCGAUGUCAUAACCUCCAAAAUAGGUUGGCUUCACAACUUGAGGACUAAAAUGUAAAGUUUCUAAACUUUAUCGAAUUGGCGUCGUGAAUCAACAAGGGACGUUGCGAUGUUGAAAGCUACUAUUGUGACAUCCAUGGGGUUGUGUUGUGACUUUGUAGGUAAAAUACAAAAAUUCUAAUCUUAUUUGGUUUCAACCUAUCAUUUAACAAAAUAAGCAUAAUCCUAAGACUCAAAAUGACAUCAACAAUAUAUAUAUGUUCAAUUUCAUGGUUCAACCCAAAUAGGCCUUUAUCAUUCAUCCAUUACUAAAGUACACAAAAUAGUCCAUUUGCAACCUAAUAACCGGUUCAACCCUAGGAACAUGUCAUUUAUCAAAAUAACAUUACAGCAAAACAGGUUUUUAGCAGCAUUUUUAGUGGCGUUUGGAUAGAAAACGUCGUAAAAGGUAAAACAUUAGUAACGUUUUUGCAUAAAAGCCACAAAAGGUAAAGUAAUAGUGGCAUUUUUCUCAUAAACGCCGCAAAAGGUAAAGCAACAACCGCAUUUUUUCAUAAACGCCGUUAAAGGUAAAGUAAUAGCAGUGUUUUUUCCAUAAAUGCCGCAAAUAUUUUUUAUUAAAACGGCACGUUUUUUAUGGCAUUCAUUAACUUUUGGUUCUUUUUUCAGUAGUGCACUGCAUAAACCUCCACAAAAGCCUAAAAGGUAAAGUACUCUAAACCCUAAAGUACUCUGUUUCCUUUAUCCUCUCUUUCCCAUCACUCGUCGCAAAUGUUUCCAUCCUCACGGUGGUCUGCUCCUUCAUCCGGCGACCUCCUACCGCCUCCUCUUACUAUAUUUUGAGUUAAAAUGACAUGUACAUAGGUAGACCAAAUGUGUUCCUAUGUGUUAGGGACUAAAAUGCAAACUCUUGAAACUCUAUCUAUUUUGGUUUUACAUGAAGUAUUUUGGUUCUAUAUGAAAUGAAUUAUUGAAACCAUAAGUAUGUUUGCAAAUGUGGUUUACUAAUAUGAUGAUUAUGGUUGAUUUGGAGUGGUUUUAAAUAGUUUUAAUACAUUUUGAAUUGGUCUUAAGUGUUGAGAAGAAUAUAAUAUAUAUUGCAGGGGGUUUAGUGAACUUUUAAAUUGAUUUUUGCCUAAAUUUUACCUAAGGUAUCGAUACCAAGGGUAUAGGUACCGAUACCUAAUCUUUGAAAUACAAAAUUGCCAAAACAUAAUGUGAUUUUGGUAUUGUUUUUGUCAUUGGUAUCGAUAUUUUUUUAGAAGGUAUCGAUACCUUUUGUUUUGGUAUCGAUACUUUUUCCUUGUUUUGAGUAAAAAACAAUGUUAAAAUCAUUUCCAAAUAUAAUCUAACAUCCAAUAAUGACCCCACACAUUUAUAUUAAUAAUUUUUGGGUUAAAUAAGUUAAAAUACUAUGUAUAAAUGUUUAAAUUAAUCAAUGUCAAGCUAAAAUCGUUUUGGCACCAAAUGUGAUAGUCUUAUACCGAGUUUAUACGAUUGGACUAGGUAUAGAGGUGUUACAAUUUUGCACAACUGAUGUGACCCUUCUGGGAUGGAGAGCUUGUAUGUGAAAUUGGGAAGUUUUAUUCUCCGAACGACCAGAGCUCUUUGAAGUUCCUCCUGCUUAGUGGUGUAGGGAUAAAGUUUGUUUGUCACCAGAACUGGAGACAGCUGUUCUCGCGGUGGAUGGGCUGGGACUAAUCGAUUACCGAUUUCUCUCAUUCUCUCCAUAACUCGAGUAAAGGAAGAAAGAGAAAAUUUAAAAAGCAAAAGUGUUUGAAAUUACCUUUAUUUCAAGUUGCUGAAAAUGCUAAGUAUGAAAGAUUUAGGGUUCCGAAGGCUCCCCCUUUUAGAGAAAGAUUUCUAUUCCCGUACUUUAACUAUUUGUAUAACCGAGGAAAAUCAAUUACCCAAAAGUGAGCAGAUGAAAACGGAUCAACUUUCAACGGUCAGAUACAUAGGCUCGACACCCAUCUGCGCACGCGAUAGAACGAUCGUUAUGCAUCACAGCUCGCAAACCUACCCAGCAAGCUGCAUUAAAACUUGACAUGAUGGACCUAAGACAUGCCACUUUAUAGCACCCUUUAGGCCCACUAAUGGGGGAGUAGAUUGUUGUACAUUAGUAAUCAUCGACCCGAGCCCUACUAGAGAUUCGAGUCUCCGACCCGUGACCUGGAUAGGUCCCACAAGAAUAUUGAGUGCGAAGCGAGCCAUGAGAGGACAACAAGGUGAAUUCACGGUCCCUACUCACAGAGCGAGCUCGUGGGCUCAGCUCGUAACGCAAUGCCACAGACCCCGCUUUCAAGGACCAAGGGAAGGCCACUGUCUCAGCUCGCAUACACUCAGUGAACUCGUAGAAAAGGGUCGUGUGCUCCGUGAGCUUCCCAGACACGUGUCUAGUAGGUACGGAGCCCGCCUAGGACGUUAAUUUCAAGAAUAGAAAGGACCACGUGCUCCGUAGACACGUGCCCAGUGAACCUAGAGUUAGCAGAGAAUGUCAGUACGAGAGAUAGAGGAUGUCAGUACUAGUGGCAACAGAGUCAAGACAAAAUAGCGGGGGCCAUAUCAUGAGCUGUAAUGAACUGUAAUCUCAUUAAUUUAGCAUCUAAGUUGAUCUGAAAAUUGGUGUUCACAUUUCAAGUCUAUGUAUUUAUUAUGUUAAAAUCUCCAAUGAAUGGAAAUUCAACAAUGAAGGAUGGCAAAAAGCUUUAGGCGGUUUAGUAAGGUAUAUUUAAAUGGAAAGAUUUUAAUUGGAAGAGCAUGAAAAAUAAUUAAAACAUAAAAAACUUUCUUCUAAAUUCCAAAAUUGAGUAUGAAAAUUCACCUUUGCAAAAUAUAUUUCAAUAAAUACAAUCAACAUAAGAAAAUUAUAUUUUGAAAGAGAUAUAGUAAUCACAUUGUUCUUUAUCAGGGGCGUAGCUAGUGGACUGGCCCCUCUUAAAAUGGAAAAAUUUUCAUUUAGACCCUUUAAAAUUUUAAAUUAAUAAAGGUAAAAAUACACUUUGCCCCCCUUAACAAUGAUAAAAAAUUAUUUAAUCCUUUAAAAAUUAUAAAGAUAUAGAGUAUUAAAAUAAUGAAAUUGUAUUUUUAAUAUCGUAAAAAAUUAUAAUUUAAUUUUUUUUCCCUUAAAAAAAAGUUUCUGGCUUCACUCCUCCUAUCAAUGUUUUCAUUUCCUUAACAAAACAAUCAAAAUAAUAAAAUUUUAAAUCAUCAAAAGAAGGGAAAAUAAAGAAUGAGACCUUGAAAUAGACUUACAUGUACCUCAUUCUCCCCCUUAUAGUAUCUAACAUCAAUCAUUCAAUCAAUUUCUUGAUUUGUAUAAUACUAAAUUGUUUGAUUUUAAAAAAUAAGAGUUAUAAUUGAUAAUAAAAUCAAAGAUGAUAUGGAAAUUAUUUAAUCAAAUAUCAAUAGAACAUAAUUUUACAAAUAUAAAAUAUUAGUAUUUAUGAUAUAUUUUAACUUCAGGGAUCAAAAAAAUUAAAAAGAGCCUUAUAAUAUUAUAAUAUAUAUGAUAAUUUUUUUAAUAUUUUGCUUUAGCCGACCCUGAUAUCCUUUCCAUAUAGAACUCUUCAUCGUCAAAGCUUAAAUUAUUCUUUCUAUAUAUUAUUUAGGGUUAUGAAAAGGCGAUAUAUCUAAGUUCCAUCCAAGUAUGAUUGUUCAUCAAAGCUCUCGCAAGGAAUCAAAUUGCGAAACAAUGGCGACGGAUGAUUUCAUCAGUGACCUUCCCGACGAAGUUUUGGCUACGAUUAUAUCAGGCUUACCAGCCAUUGAAGCAAUAAGAACAACUAUUUUAUCAAAACGAUUGAAGGACGUAUGGAGGAAUGUUUCCCGUUUAGAUUUCGAUCCAAAAGGAGUGAAGAAAUUAUUUCCUGCUCCAAAUCGACGCAGAUCUACGGUGCCAGUAAUACAGUUUGGAUCCAAUGUUUGCCAUGACGAGGGUGAUGAUAUUGAUGAUACUGAUCCGAGGGAAGAGAUUUCCCGAGUUGUUAAGAAUAUCGAUAAUGUAUUGUUAUCUCAUGAACGUAACUUGAUUAGUUGCAGAAUCGUUCAUCUCUCAAAUAGUUACAGAAGCGGUGAUGUUGAGAAGUGGAUCAAAUAUCUUACAUCCGAGAAGAAAGUGCAAGAAUUGGCUUUCCUUUGCGAUGAUUUUCAGCAUGAGUUUUAUCCAGUAAGCCUUUUUGGAUGGGGUCUGAAUUUACCGUCUGGGAUUUUUUCAUGUAGAACUCUGCAAUCGCUUGAGUUCACAAAUUACGGUAUCCGAUUCCAUCGCCCUUUUCACCAUUGCCAUAACCUCAAAACCUUGAAACUCUAUUACUGUGAUAUUAGCAGUGAAACCCUUGAAGCAAUCGUUUCUAGCUGUGAUUUUAUGGAACACCUGAGCGUUUGUUCUUCCACCUCCAGUUUAAAACAGGUUCGGAUCUUUAGCCAAACGGUUAAGACUGUGGAGCUGGAAUCAUUGGAUUUGGAGGGGAUUUAUUUAUCUACCCAAUCUCUUGGUGCUUUGGUGCUUCAUUCUAUGAAAUUUCCAGCCAAAAGUUUGGUUAUCCAUGCUCCAAAUCUUAGGGUUUUUACUGCAACUCGCAAGCCCAUAACUAA
This 14653-nucleotide long non-coding RNA is filed under the name Gossypium raimondii (Peruvian cotton). Its description in RNAcentral is "long non-coding RNA (GRAI_LNC007524)". The record is from RNAcentral. Lineage: Eukaryota; Viridiplantae; Streptophyta; Magnoliopsida; Malvales; Malvaceae.